GUACACUCCUGCGGGAGGCAGCAGUGGGGAAUAUUGGACAAUGGGCGCAAGCCUGAUCCAGCCAUGCCGCGUGAGUGAUGAAGGCCCUAGGGUUGUAAAGCUCUUUCACCGGUGAAGAUAAUGACGGUAACCGGAGAAGAAGCCCCGGCUAACUUCGUGCCAGCAGCCGCGGUAAUACGAAGGGGGCUAGCGUUGUUCGGAUUUACUGGGCGUAAAGCGCACGUAGGCGGACUAUUAAGUCAGGGGUGAAAUCCCGGGGCUCAACCCCGGAACUGCCUUUGAUACUGGUAGUCUUGAGUUCGAGAGAGGUGAGUGGAAUUCCGAGUGUAGAGGUGAAAUUCGUAGAUAUUCGGAGGAACACCAGUGGCGAAGGCGGCUCACUGGCUCGAUACUGACGCUGAGGUGCGAAAGCGUGGGGAGCAAACAGGAUUAGAAACCCUAGUAGUCCCAUG
RNAcentral lists this ribosomal RNA (452 nucleotides) under uncultured organism. RNAcentral's name for it is "partial 16S ribosomal RNA". It matches the Rfam family "Bacterial small subunit ribosomal RNA", at positions 331 to 799 of the family's 1533-position model. The record is from RNAcentral.